Long non-coding RNA from Notothenia coriiceps (black rockcod), 302 nucleotides. RefSeq lists it as uncharacterized. NCBI's taxonomy places the organism in Eukaryota, Metazoa, Chordata, Actinopteri, Perciformes, Nototheniidae. The record is from RefSeq and is a predicted model, not a curated record. The transcript has 4 exons.
UUACCGGGGAUCACUGGUGUCUCUGAGCGAAAUCCAGGAGGAGCAGAGGAAAUUGAGGCGCUACCGGCCCCUGAGGAACAGCUGUCCCCCGAUGGCCCUCCCUCUCACCAAGUCUGUGUCCAUGCUGGCCAUCAGCCAGAGAGACCUCGAUGGUAUGAGGUCGUUUUCCAGCGCCUCUGGGUCACUAGCAUACAGUAUAUCAGAGGAGGAGCCUGGCCCUCUGCGCAGCGACGCUGAUGGAAAGAGUACGACGAAAGUCAGCCGGACGUUCAGCUACCUCAAGAACAAGAUGUACAAGAAGA